RNAcentral lists this ribosomal RNA (496 nucleotides) under uncultured bacterium. RNAcentral describes it as "partial 16S ribosomal RNA". It matches the Rfam family "Bacterial small subunit ribosomal RNA", at positions 29 to 507 of the family's 1533-position model. The record is from RNAcentral.
AUGAACGCUGGCGGCGUGCCUAAUACAUGCCAGUCGAGCGAACGGACGAGAAGCUUGCUUCUCUGAUGUUAGCGGCGGACGGGUGAGUAACACGUGGAUAACCUACCUAUAAGACUGGGAUAACUUCGGGAAACCGGAGCUAAUACCGGAUAAUAUUUUGAACCGCAUGGUUCAAAAGUGAAAGACGGUCUUGCUGUCACUUAUAGAUGGAUCCGCGCUGCAUUAGCUAGUUGGUAAGGUAACGGCUUACCAAGGCAACGAUGCAUAGCCGACCUGAGAGGGCGAUCGGCCACACUGGAACUGAGACACGGUCCAGACUCCUACGGGAGGCAGCAGUAGGGAAUCUUCCGCAAUGGGCGAAAGCCUGACGGAGCAACGCCGCGUGAGUGAUGAAGGUCUUCGGAUCGUAAAACUCUGUUAUUAGGGAAGAACAUAUGUGUAAGUAACUGUGCACAUCUUGACGGUACCUAAUCAGAAAGCCACGGCUAACUACGUG